This 717-nucleotide long non-coding RNA is filed under the name Cricetulus griseus (Chinese hamster). Its description in RNAcentral is "lncRNA (ENSCGRG00015036964.1)". The record is from RNAcentral. Lineage: Eukaryota; Metazoa; Chordata; Mammalia; Rodentia; Cricetidae.
CUCAAAUUCCAGUGCAGGUUUUGGUGAAACUGUAAUUCACCCGGCAGUCCGGUCAACAGCGGAGAAAAAUUUCACUUUGUCACACUGUGUGACUCAGAAGACAGUGAUCAAGUGCAAUCUUGACAGAAAAACUGGUAAUAAAAACAGCCACUCUGGGAACGGAAGAACGGAGCAGAGUAACACCCAGAAAAGUCAGGUUUGAUCAGAGACCUGGAGAAAUGGAGGGAAGCAGGAAAGUGCAACCAGGCAGAAGCAUCAGGACUGUGAACCGUCAAGAGGUGGGUUGGUGCACAGUCGCGGAGAACCUUCAUCCAGCAGCUGUUCGAAGCAGAAACAGGCACCCACAGCUAAGCACUGAACCAUACUCCUGGAAUCCAGUUGCCGAGAGGGAGGAGGGAUGACCAAAAGAGCAAAGACGGUGCUGGAGAGGCCUGAAGAAACAGUUGACCUGACCUAGUGAGAGCAUGGAGACCCUAGUCAUAAAGCUGGGGAAACAGCAUUGGACCAAACCAAGCCCUCUAAAUGUGGGUGCCAGCUACGAGGCCAAGACAGUCUAUGGGACCUCUAACAGUGGAGCCAGUCUUUAACCCUAGAGCACAAUGGACUUGGAGCCCAUUCCCUAUGGAGGGAUACUAUUGCAGCCCAGAUACAGCAAGGAGGGCCUAGGCCCUCCCCCAAAUGAUAUGCCAGACUUUGAAGGUCCCCUGUGGAUGAUCU